GAUGAAGAACGUAGCGAAAUGCGAUAAGUAAUGUGAAUUGCAGAAUUCAGUGAAUCAUCGAAUCUUUGAACGCACCUUGCACCCUUUGGCAUUCCGAAGGGUAUGCUCGUUUGAGUGUCAUUGUACUCUCACACUUCUGAUCCUUUGGAUUGGGAGCGGUGGACUUGGGUGUUGCUGCUUUACUGUGACUCACCUCAAAUGCAUUCGUGCAACUCUUGGUUGGACAUAGUACGGCGUGAUAAGUAUCUUCGCCGGCACCUCGCAAGAGGGUGGCUGAUCAGGAGCUCUGUGCUUUCCAACUGUCUUCAGACAACAACUGACAACUUGACCUCAAAUCGAGUAGGACCACCCGCUGAACUUAAGCAUAUCAAUAAGCGGAGGA
Molecule: unclassified non-coding RNA, 382 nt
Filed under: soil metagenome
Description: partial contains 5.8S ribosomal RNA, internal transcribed spacer 2, and large subunit ribosomal RNA
Rfam family: 5.8S ribosomal RNA (bases 1-120)
Source: RNAcentral